Molecule: ribosomal RNA, 274 nt
Filed under: uncultured bacterium
Lineage: Bacteria
Description: partial 16S ribosomal RNA
Rfam family: Bacterial small subunit ribosomal RNA
Source: RNAcentral
AUACGGAGGGUGCGAGCGUUAAUCGGAAUUACUGGGCGUAAAGGGUGCGUAGGCGGCUUGAUAAGUCGGAUGUGAAAGCCCCGGGCUUAACCUGGGAAUUGCAUUCGAUACUGUCAGGCUAGAGUAUGUCAGAGGUUGGCGGAAUUCCUGGUGUAGCGGUGAAAUGCGUAGAUAUCAGGAGGAACACCAGUGGCGAAGGCGGCUAACUGGGGCAAUACUGACGCUGAGGCACGAAAGCGUGGGGAGCAAACAGAAUUAGAUACCCUAGUAGUCC